GGGGGUGAUUUGGUCUCGACUUGUUAUAUUGUUGUAUGAGUGGCAUGCCGAGGAAGUCUGGUUGGCCUCGUUAAAAAUCUGGACAAAAAAACAAACGGCGAAAAUUACAAUGCUGUUGCUGAAGCGGAAGCAAUUCUAGCUGAAGCGCAACCAGUCUUAGUUUAAAAAUUUAAGCUAAGCCCUUUUAUUGAGAGUGUCUGCGGCUCUAUAGAAGGCACUAGCAGGCUGGCUGUAAUCGUGUUCUUGAGGUUAUGGUGAGAUUAAAGAGAACUAGCUUAAAUAUAUCUUGUGCAUUGGAGAUACUUAAGUGAUAUUAAAAAAUGUACUAUGCAUGUAGAGGCUUAUAUAAAGUGUUCCAAGGACCCGGGUUCAAUUCCCGGCACCUCCACCA
RNAcentral lists this transfer-messenger RNA (391 nucleotides) under Candidatus Zapsychrus exili. It matches the Rfam family "transfer-messenger RNA". Rfam says of the family: Bacterial tmRNA, also known as 10Sa RNA or SsrA, is named for its dual tRNA and mRNA-like properties. Its role is to liberate the mRNA from a stalled ribosome. The record is from RNAcentral. Lineage: Bacteria; Pseudomonadati; Candidatus Omnitrophota.